Non-coding RNA from Physeter macrocephalus (sperm whale), 1346 nucleotides. The record is from the annotation of a RefSeq genome assembly. NCBI's taxonomy places the organism in Eukaryota, Metazoa, Chordata, Mammalia, Artiodactyla, Physeteridae.
GCUGAGUCUCCUGUGAUCCCAAUAAGGAAGAAGAAUGCAGAAACUCCUGACCGUGUCUUUGGUGAUUCUGUGGCUUCAACUGGCCAGGGUGAAUAGCCAGCAAGGAGAAGAGAAUCUUCAGGCCCUGAGCAUCCAGGAGGGUGAAAAUGCCACCAUGAACUGCAGUUAUAAAACUUCUAUAGACACCUUACAUUGGUACAGACAGGAUUCAAGGAGAGGCUUUGCCCACCUGAUUUUAAUACGUUCAAAUGAGAGAGAGAAGCGUAGUGGAAGACUGCGAGUCACGCUUGACAGCUCCAUCAAAAGCAGUUCCCUGUCUAUCACGGCUUCCCAGGCUGCAGACGCUGCUACUUACCUCUGUGCUACGGAUACACACGGCAACUAUCAGUUGACCUGGGGCUCUGGGACCAAGCUAAUUAUAAAGCCAGAUAUCCAGAACCCCGACCCUGCCGUGUACCAGCUGAGAAGCCCCAAAUCCAGCAACACCUCCGUCUGCUUAUACACCGAUUUUGAAUCUCAAGCCAACGUGUCACAAGUCACGAGGCCCGUGGUGUUCGGCUCAGACAGCACGGUGCUAGACAUGGGAGCCUUGGGUUCCAAGAGCAACGGGGUCGUGGCCUGGGGCAGCGGGACCGAUUUGGGAUGCGCAGACACCUUCAACCAGACCUUCUACUCCAGCUUAGGAAUCCCCUGUGAUGCCAAGAUAGCAGAGAAAAGCUUUGAAACAGAUAUGAACCUAAACUUCCAAAACUUGUCAGUGAUCGGGUUCCGCGUCCUCCUCCUGAAAGUGGUCGGGUACAACCUGCUCAUGACGCUGCGGCUGUGGUCCAGCUGAGGUCUCCAAGAACGUGCUCCCUCUCCCCUUGUUCCUUGUCGCCCCUCCUCUCCCUCUUCAAGCAGAGAGGUGCACUCUCUGCCCCCGUGGACAGGAAGCCUCCCUCCGCCUCUCUGGCCCCACUAGCAAUACCACCAACUGGAUCCUACCAGAUAUUCGUGAUCAAGACGCUGAAGAGCUGCCCAGCACUGCUGCCACCCCCUCUGUUCCCUCACUGCUGCUUGUCACUGCCUGGCAUUCUCAGCAAAGACGGAGCCCGCUGCAGCCUCUCCUGGCUGUGGGGAAACUCCCUCCCCGCCCCUCCCCUCCCAGCGACUGCCUCUGAUGUCCCCCUGAAGGAUGGAUCCCAGUGGGUUCUCUUGGGCUCUAGCUCCUGGGCAAUGUUGUGUGCUGUUUAUAUUUUUUACACACUGUUCAUAAAGAAAUACGUAUCACCCUUUUUCCCAAGAUGUGGGGGAGAUUAUCUCAUGAUCUAGGCCCUGCUCUGCUUGUGUAUCUGAGCCACGUUGUA